Molecule: ribosomal RNA, 441 nt
Filed under: uncultured bacterium
Lineage: Bacteria
Description: partial 16S ribosomal RNA
Rfam family: Bacterial small subunit ribosomal RNA
Source: RNAcentral
CCUACGAGGGGCAGCAGUGGGGAAUAUUGCACAAUGGGGGGAACCCUGAUGCAGCGACGCCGCGUGGGUGAAGGAGUCUUUCGGUAUGUAAAGCCCUAUCAGCAGGGAAGAACAAUGACGGUACCUGACUCAGACGCACCGGCUAAAUACGUGCCAGCAGCCGCGGUAAUACGUAUGGUGCAAGCGUUAUCCGGAUUUACUGGGUGUAAAGGGAGCGCAGGCGGCGCGUUAAGCCUGGUGUGAAAGCCCGCGGCCCAACCGCGGGACUGCAUUGGGAACUGGCGCGCUGGAGUGCCGGAGGGGUAGGCGGAAUUCCUAGUGUAGCGGUGAAAUGCGUAGAUAUUAGGAGGAACACCAGUGGCGAAGGCGGCCUACUGGACGGUGACUGACGCUGAGGCUCGAAAGCGUGGGGAGCAAACAGGAUUAGAUACCCCAGUAGUC